This 305-nucleotide ribosomal RNA is filed under the name uncultured bacterium. RNAcentral's name for it is "bacterial SSU rRNA". It matches the Rfam family "Bacterial small subunit ribosomal RNA", at positions 330 to 656 of the family's 1533-position model. The record is from RNAcentral.
UGCGGACUACGGGACGCAGCAGUGGGGAAUAUUGCACAAUGGGCGAAAGCCUGAUGCAGCAACGCCGCGUGAGCGAUGAAGGCCUUCGGGUCGUAAAGCUCUGUCCUCAAGGAAGAUAAUGACGGUACUUGAGGAGGAAGCCCCGGCUAACUACGUGCCAGCAGCCGCGGUAAUACGUAGGGGGCUAGCGUUAUCCGGAAUUACUGGGCGUAAAGGGUGCGUAGGUGGUUUCUUAAGUCAGAGGUGAAAGGCUACGGCUCAACCGUAGUAAGCCUUUGAAAAUGGGGAAGUUGAGUGCAGGAGAG